RNAcentral lists this ribosomal RNA (440 nucleotides) under uncultured bacterium. RNAcentral's name for it is "partial 16S ribosomal RNA". It matches the Rfam family "Bacterial small subunit ribosomal RNA", at positions 338 to 795 of the family's 1533-position model. The record is from RNAcentral.
CCUACGGGAGGCAGCAGUGGGGAAUAUUGCACAAUGGGGGAAACCCUGAUGCAGCGACGCCGCGUGAGUGAAGAAGUAAUUCGUUAUGUAAAGCUCUAUCAGCAGGGAAGAAAAUGACGGUACCUGAGUAAGAAGCGCCGGCUAACUACGUGCCAGCAGCCGCGGUAAUACGUAGGGGGCAAGCGUUAUCCGGAUUUACUGGGUGGAAAGGGAGCGUAGAUGGAAGUGCAAGUCUGGAGGGAAAGGCGGGGGCUCAACCCCCGGACUGCUCUGGAAACUGUACGGCUGGAGUGCAGGAGAGGUAAGUGGAAUUCCUAGUGUAGCGGUGAAAUGCGUAGAUAUUAGGAGGAACACCAGUGGCGAAGGCGGCUUACUGGACUGUAACUGACGUUGAGGCUCGAAAGCGUGGGGAGCAAACAGGAUUAGAUACCCUAGUAGUC